GAAAAAUUUGUUACUCUUUCGAAAUGGGAAUCUUUUAAACUUAAAAUUAUAAAAAGGAAGGAUCAGAAAAACAUUAAACUUUUAUCAAUUUUAUAACAAGAUAUUCAAAGAUUGUAAAAAUUAUACUACCACUAUUCUAUUAAAUGCUAUUUUGAAACCACAAAUGGUAAAAUUUUACAUACGUGGCCGAAACAAAAAAGCAAUGGGAAACUUCAAUUUAUUGUAGAUGGACAGAAAUCUUUUCUUUUUACAUUAAAAAUAAUGUGAAACAACUAAAAAAA
Molecule: long non-coding RNA, 281 nt
Organism: Condylostylus longicornis
Lineage: Eukaryota; Metazoa; Arthropoda; Insecta; Diptera; Dolichopodidae
Exons: 2
Source: RefSeq, a predicted model, not a curated record